RNAcentral lists this ribosomal RNA (540 nucleotides) under uncultured Haliea sp. Its description in RNAcentral is "bacterial SSU rRNA". It matches the Rfam family "Bacterial small subunit ribosomal RNA", at positions 76 to 613 of the family's 1533-position model. The record is from RNAcentral. Lineage: Bacteria; Pseudomonadati; Pseudomonadota; Gammaproteobacteria; Cellvibrionales; Halieaceae.
GCUUUCGGGCUGAGUAGAGCGGCGGACGGGUGAGUAACGCGUAGGAAUCUACCUGGUAGUGGGGGACAACUUGGGGAAACUCAAGCUAAUACCGCAUACGCCCUAAGGGGGAAAGCGGGGGACCUUCGGGCCUCGCGCUAUCGGAUGAGCCUGCGUAGGAUUAGCUAGUUGGUGGGGUAAAGGCCCACCAAGGCGACGAUCCUUAGCUGGUCUGAGAGGAUGAUCAGCCACACUGGAACUGAGACACGGUCCAGACUCCUACGGGAGGCAGCAGUGGGGAAUAUUGCGCAAUGGGCGAAAGCCUGACGCAGCCAUGCCGCGUGUGUGAAGAAGGCCUUAGGGUUGUAAAGCACUUUCAAUUGGGAAGAAAAGUUUGUCGUUAAUAGCGCCAAGCUCUGACAUUACCUUUAGAAGAAGCACCGGCUAACUCCGUGCCAGCAGCCGCGGUAAUACGGAGGGUGCGAGCGUUAAUCGGAAUUACUGGGCGUAAAGCGCGCGUAGGCGGUUUGUUAAGUCAGCUGUGAAAGCCCCGGGCUCAAC